Molecule: long non-coding RNA, 439 nt
Organism: Spea bombifrons (plains spadefoot toad)
Lineage: Eukaryota; Metazoa; Chordata; Amphibia; Anura; Pelobatidae
Exons: 2
Source: RefSeq, a predicted model, not a curated record
AAAUUUACCCCACCAAACCAUAUAUUUUUGAAAACUAGACACCCCAGGGUAUUUUAGAUGCUGAUAGUUUAACCCUUUCCAUGCACUAAUCCUACCACCAACCCUUGUCAAAGUUUGUGAUAGUAAUUGUUUUUGGUGUUUUUUUCACACACUUUGUACUUCAGGUGUGAAAUUACAGCUCCUGGUAUAUGUUGCUUACAUUGAUACCCCACAUGCAUGGGUUUGUCAGAUUGUUUGGGGGCAAAAGGGCCACAUUUGGAACAUGAGCAAUUCAGUUUUUCAACUAGGAAGUUUUACAUCUGGGUAAAGAAAAAUGCUUGUACCCAACUAUCAGUAGGGACAGGUUACAAGAAAGCCUGGCCUAUCUCCAAGAAGGGAUUUGAUCUAGCACCUUAAGCGGUCCCUCAUGCCACGGAAUGGACACAGGGUUCACUUGACA